AACUGGUUCAUAGGGUGAUUUUGCGCUCUCACUGGGCUUCUGCAAAUCUUCCCAUGUAAAUUCUGGGGACUUUCCAUAUCCGGAUAUCACUGAAGCUAUUCCACAGGGAGUAUACCCAAGGCAGGAUGACGUAGGCCUACAACUAGCUCUCCCCUCAUUGACUUUGUUAAGGAGAGGUCAGCAUUGUGUGCUAACAAAUGACAUCAGUAGUCAAAAGGUGGUUCUGGCUGAACAUGAGACAAGCGCCUGUUUUGUAAAUAAAAAAUGCAAAUGAUACCCCAAAAUUCACAUGAAUCCUAGCAGCAUGCUAAUCAUGCAUCAAAGCCUGUUGAAAACUAAGUAUGUAAGUACAUGUAAGUGAUGUGAAAUGGCUAGCUAGUUAGCGGGAUGCGCGCUAAUAGCGUUUCGAUUGGUGUCCUUCGAGCCCAGGGAGGAGCGGGACGGAAGCUAUAGGGUUACAUUGAUGCUGUUGACCCGCAUCACUGGUUGCUGCGGAAAAGGAGGAGAUCAAAAGUGGGGACCUGAGCCCUAGGACCAUGCCCCAGGACUACCUGACAUGAUUACUCCUUGCUGUCCCCAGUCCACCUGGCCAUGCUGCUGUUCCAGUUUCAACUGACCUGAGCCCUAGGACCAUGCCCCAGGACUACCUGACAUGAUGACUCCUUGCUGUCCCCAGUCCACCUGGCCAUGCUGCUGCUCCAGUUUCAACUUCCACCUGACUGUGCUGCUGCUCCAGUUUCAACUGUUCUGCCUUAUUAUUAUUCGACCAUGCUGGUCAUUUAUGAACAUUUGAACAUCUUGACCAUGUUCUGUUAUAAUCUCCACCUGGCACAGCCAGAAGAGGACUGGCCACCCCACAUAGCCUGGUUCCUCUCUAGGUUUCUUCCUAGGUUUUGGCCUUUCUAGGGAGUUUUUCCUAGCCACCGUGCUUCUACACCUGCAUUGCUUGCUGUUUGGGGUUUUAGGCUGGGUUUCUGUACAGCACUUUGAGAUAUCAGCUGAUGUACGAAGGGCUAUAUAAAUAAAUUUGAUUUGAUUUGGGCAUCUGGGGCUGUAUGUAUCAAGUGUCUCAGAGUUAGAAUGCUGAUUUAGGGUCAGAUAUUAUUUUUAAAUCACAACUAAUAAGACCACAUGGACAGGGUGGACCUGAUCCUAGAUCAGUACCUCUAGUCUGAGACUCUUGAUGUAUACAGACCCGGAUAUGAUAUCCCACCCUGUAUUCAUCUGCUGUGGCUCUCUCCCUGGUAGAUUCGGGAGUGUCACCAUUUUUGUACCCUCAUAUCAAUGUUUGUCCAGGCUUAGAGGAGCGUCUUUCUUUGGGUAUCCUUGUAUGCACUGACCUGGCCCGCUUUUGGUCUGCCUCACCCCUGCUUUGGAAGUGAUAUCCUGGGUUGAGGGUUGAGCAUGUCCUCCUGGGGCUGAGAUCCAGCCGGCAGCCCAGACAUGGUUGGAAGUGGCCCUUAGGAAGUGUGGCUCUAUUGAGGGGCAAGCUGACUUACCGUUCCCCCUCUUGCCCCCCGCGGUCACUCCUCAAGCUGUGAUGAAUGUGCCAAGUCCCAGUGUGUGACACGGCUUUCCUCGCUUCGCUGACUCACCCGGGUGAAAGAGACACACUAAACCCUCAUCUGGCCCUCUCUCUUUUUUUCUUUCUUUCUUUCUUUCUCUCCCACUCUCUCCUCCACUCCCUUUAUUUGCAUGGUAUAACAGGGAUAGGAAUGAUUUUAAAUGGAAAUGAAUCCCAGACCUUGUGUGUGUUUGUGUGUGUGUGUGUCCAUGCAUGUGUCCGUGUGUGUGUGAUAAACCAAGGGCCUGCCUGUGUUCAAUGUAGAUUAAGAUUUCGCUGGGGUCAGCAGAUUAAUUUAUGUUCCCUCUUCGAAGGAAUUUCCAGCUGUAACUCAUAGCUUUGUAGUAGUUGUGUAAAUAUUAUUUAUUUGGUUUAGUGUGUGUGUGUGUGUGUAUUUGAAUAUUUGUGUAUUACUGUGAGCAUGCUGCUAGGUGGCAACUCCCAUCUUCUCCGAUAUAUCAUUAAAAAAGGAACACCACCAAGGUUCUUGUCAACAUGUGAAGUGUAUGCCAACAUCUGUGACCGACAUGUACUGGGCUGGUGAGGUAAACAUAUCUACAGGGCAUUUUAAAAGCCUUUUUGUUUUUUUAAUCACUUUACUGCUCCAAUUGAAAUAUUAUUGUUAUAACACGUCCCGAUUCAUGGUGAUUCCAAGUAAAUGAGACACGUUGCCGGACAGAGCAACCAAAGCCAUCCACACUUAAGAUAAAGUUAAACGUUUUAUACCUCAUCAGCGUGGACAGCUAGUGUAGCGCCCAUUUUAUAACACAAUCUAUCAAUGGCUAACCAUUAUCAGACAGUGUGUCAAUGCCUAUAAUGUUUAAAGGCCUCAAACCCACGUUGAUCCAACAUUGAGGCUCUCUGUAGCAAACUCCUUUAGUCCACUUUCAGUAAGCAAACAUUGUGGAAUUUCACAGUUAGAAAUGUUAGAAAUAAGGUGACAGGAUUCUUUAUACUACAUGUCAGAGAAGCAUGUUUGUUCAAUAUAAUAUUUUUCUAACUGAAUAAGUUUUGCCCCGCUGAACACAGACUGCCCUGGAUUGGUCAGAGAGAGAGCAUGCUGUUUUACCGGAAUGAGGCUGUGCUAUACUGCACUCCCACAGUGAACAGAGAGGGGGAGGGAGAGAGAAGGAGG
Long non-coding RNA from Oncorhynchus tshawytscha (Chinook salmon), 2699 nucleotides. Lineage: Eukaryota; Metazoa; Chordata; Actinopteri; Salmoniformes; Salmonidae. The record is from Ensembl.